CCGCCGCACAAAAUCCAAUAGUGAACUCGAUCUACCACACAAUUUUAACAAUUACAACGAACAAAGCCAGAAAUCUGAAUAAUAUCCAAUUUCAAAGCAAGAAAAAGAAAAAUACAACAAUUUAAUUUCCCCAUCAGUUUAGAUUUGCUACCCACCAUUGAUUCAACACAUAUUGGCAGGUGGGGAACCAUCAAACGAACAAAUUAUACAAUUCAAGAUCCAUCAUAGAACUUGGGAGGAAUCAAAUCUAAUUCCGGCUGAAAUCGAAAUGUUCCUAGGGCAAAGAAAAUGGUUAAGUGAUCUUUCAUCUUUCUUGUAACCAUGUCUUCCCCUGUAAACAAACCAACAAAGUUGAAACAGAAUCUGCCCUUUAUAAUCGUUGAACAAAUCUUUCUUUGCUUAACCAUCAUCCCUGGCAGACUGUUAGCAGACACCCAGAUACUUAAUCACCAUAAUGAUUCUGCUGGCAGUUUCUGCAAAUUACAGAAAAUUGCCAUCAUCUUUCAUGACUGAUCAUCAGACCUUGACCGAGUCAAACGCCGACGCCUUCUAGGAAUCGGAGAAGCAUCUUGAUGUCUUCUUGGGAUCGGAGAACCAUCUUCACCUGCAUCACUUAAUACAUGCAAAUAAUCAUCGUCAUCUUCAUCAUCAUCUUGUAGACCCAAUAGAUUCUCACCCCAAAGGAAUCGACGCUCGGGUAAUGCUCCAGCUGCUCGACGAUGCCUUGUCCAAGCUCUUGGCCGAGCCCUUGGUUCAGCUACGCCAUCAAUUGAGCCAAUCAUUUGAAACAAGAAGAAAGUAGUCCACCAUGGGGCAUUAACUUCACCUGCCCCACCUUCCCUUUCAACUGAAAAUCUAUCACCAUUUUCAAUCACAUAGUCUCCAACUACAACAGCACCUGGCAUGGCCGAACGAAUGGCACUGACAAUGUCACUAUAUUCUGUCUGUCGCUCAAGGCAUCUCCAAGCUCGUUCUCUGGAUGGAUCAACAUCAGAGGGUCGAGUUGUUGGGUGAACCCUCCUAGCAUGCCUACGCAAUUCUUGGUAAUUUCCAACAAAUGAGCAUGAUUCCCUAGAGCAACUUCGCUUCUUCAAGUUCAGAUAUUUUCUGGCCUCAUCUACAACUUCCCACCCUAGUACAGC
RNAcentral lists this unclassified non-coding RNA (1142 nucleotides) under Hevea brasiliensis (rubber tree). The record is from RNAcentral. Lineage: Eukaryota; Viridiplantae; Streptophyta; Magnoliopsida; Malpighiales; Euphorbiaceae.